RNAcentral lists this ribosomal RNA (253 nucleotides) under uncultured bacterium. RNAcentral describes it as "partial 16S ribosomal RNA". It matches the Rfam family "Bacterial small subunit ribosomal RNA", at positions 524 to 776 of the family's 1533-position model. The record is from RNAcentral.
UACGAAGGGGGCUAGCGUUGCUCGGAAUUACUGGGCGUAAAGGGCGCGUAGGUGGCGGUGUUAGUCAGGCGUGAAAGCCCUGGGCUCAACCUGGGGACUGCGCUUGAUACGGCAUUGCUAGAGGAUGGAAGAGGGUCGCGGAAUUCCCAGUGUAGAGGUGAAAUUCGUAGAUAUUGGGAAGAACACCGGUGGCGAAGGCGGCGACCUGGUCCAUUACUGACGCUGAGGCGCGACAGCGUGGGGAGCAAACAGG